GGGAAGGACGAGGUGGUUUGGGGAGGGCGAGGGGCAGCCAGCCCAUGGGCGGCGUGGAGAGGUGUCGGGUGCUGCACCAGCCGCGGCCCCGGGCGGGAGAGGGGCCCCGAGGGAGACGGGAAACACGCGAGUAGUCGUGAAAGAAGGGAGCCACGGGAUGAGCGCCGUGCGGGGCUCAGGUGCUGGCGGCGGGGAUGAGGGUGAAGCCCGCAAUGGGCAGCGGCUGUGAGGGGACAGCGCCGGGUCGUGACGGGGAACGCGGGAGCGGCGCAGGUGCCUUAUUGAAUGGAGAAGCAAGUGGACAAGAAGUUCCUGUGCCACAAGACAGAUAAAAUUUAUUACUCUCAGGUUUAGAGACCUGGAGCACAAUUCCCAUCUUGCCUUAAAGCAGCCUUUGCUUAUACACUUCUCCCAAGCAGAACACAAGCUGCCAAUAAAAAGCUGUAUUAAACCCCAGGGCGUACACUCUGCAGCUUUCAAGCCCAGCUCUGUGUUAGCUCACACCUACAAUUUUGUACCACACACACAAACUUGACAGUGGUUGUUGCAGUGUUCGGCUUUGGUGAGGACAGUGUGUGUUUGUCAGCAGCCAGUGUGGAGUGGAAUCUGAAGGAGGAAGUGAUGUUUUCCAUGGUAGAACUCAUUGAUGUUGGGGUUUUAUUGUGGAAGUUGUGAUGCAGGUGUUUGGUGUUGGUGUAUUAUUGCAGGAUGAGUGGAUUUGUAAAGGCUUGUCUAGGCAAUGCAGUAGGGAGAGCAGUUCAGAGUGCAAGGAGGAGAUGUGUCAGGGUUUUGGAUGAUUGUCAGUUGAAGAGUUGGAUGCUUGCAGGUUAGGUGUAGGAUAGGGGGUGAAGCUGACUUUGCCUGGGUGGUGCAAUUGGAUGGUGUGGAAAGCUGAUGUGAAACAGGCUUCUGCAAGUGACUCUAAAACUCAAGAUCCAGCUGGCAGCACCAGACACUUCCUGCUGCCAGGCAGGGCUGGGGGCUGUGCAGAGCUGCAGCAUUACCAGAGCGCACUGGAGUGAUGCACCACGAGCCUGAACCUCUGCACGCUCCAGAGAAAUUGUACCAUGGUGGGCGAUAAUGUCUCAUACAGGGAUGGCGAGUUCUUCUCUGGCCAGGAAGACUAAGACAAACAUGCCUCUUUGUCUAUUUCUGAAAUUACGGUUUAGACGGUAUUCAUAUCAUAAAUAAAAAGCUUCCCCCCACUAAUUGUUUAUCAUGUUUUUGUAAGUAGAAUUAGUAGAGAUAUUGAAGCUUGUCCUAGCUAAACUGGAAGAAAGGCAACAGCUGUGUGUACUUUUUUAAUAAAGAUUAAAUCAAAUCUGCCAUCUCA
Molecule: long non-coding RNA, 1333 nt
Organism: Columba livia (rock pigeon)
Lineage: Eukaryota; Metazoa; Chordata; Aves; Columbiformes; Columbidae
Exons: 2
Source: RefSeq, a predicted model, not a curated record